GCUAGGCAAAGAAUACUUGCCCGAUUGGGAUCAAAGCCCACACUUGAGAAAUUAUUAAAUUAUACAUCUGGUUGCUCGACGUCAAAUUGCCAAGAAGACCACGCUGUAUCGCCAUUAACCGGAUCAACGCCGUUCAUUCAAUGAUCGCUGAUCAAUGUCGGCCAUCAUCGGGAUCCAUGAUGUUGUUGUCGACGACUUAUACUCUCAGGCCAAGGAAAAGGCUGCCAACAAAGGCUUCUACAGUAGCCGUUGGGCACCUCUAAUGCGCCGAGGUCGCCAGCUGCUUGCCGCAGCUAAAGUGAAGCUUGUAUUGGGCCUUUUUAUCCUAUGCGUCACCGUUUUUAUGACUUCCAGGAUUAGCUCUUUUAUGGGCUGGAUCCCUGAUGAACCUUCUGCCGUCUUUUCUCCUUCUAAGUACAUCCUUUCCUUGAAGAUCGUGUUUGGUUUCUCUUAUUACUAAUUUUCAUCAUGCACUUGGAUUCUUUUAAGUUGUUGGAUCCUUAAUUUUUAGCCCACAUAAUGCUCUGUAGGUGAUCACUCACUUCAUUAGGAAUCAUGGUUUCCACAUUACUACCAAAUGAGAUUCUUAGUUUACAUUUUUAGGAGGUUGGCUGUAUUUGAUAAUUUGCUUCACAAGAUCUUUAUCUAUUUGAGCAUUGUAUACACUUAUCCAAUGGAUUUGCAGUGUUAUUUAUUUUCAAUUUUGUUUUUCCUUUUAUGGGUAGGGGAGGCUACGCAGUGCUUAUCAACAGCUGGAAGGGAAAUUCUCUUCUAACGCAAUCGGUCGCUCAUUACGCGUCGUGUGCUGGCACCGAUGCAAUCCAUGUGGCGUGGAGUCAGACUGAUCCCCCAUCGGAGAACUUGAAAGCCUAUCUCAAAAGGGUUGUGUUUUCGAAGUCGCAAACAGCCCUCAAACCCAGUUUCAAAUUCGAUAUUAACAAGGAGAAUUAUUUAAACUAUAGGUUUAAGCCCAUUGAUGACCUUAGAACUGACGCGAUUUUCUCCGUUGAUGAUGAUGUGAUCGUUCCUUGUUCCUUUCUGGAUUUCGCUUUUUCUGUGUGGCAGAGUGCUCCUUCUACUAUGGUGGGAUUCGUACCUCGUAUGCAUUGGCUGGAUGGCCAGAAGAAUGGUGUCCCAUAUCACAAAUAUGGAGGAUGGUGGUCAGUUUGGUGGAUGGGUGCUUAUAGUAUGGUUCUCUCAAAAGCUGCAUUCUUUCACAAGAAGUACUUGGACUUGUAUACACACAUGAUGCCCCCAUCAAUACAAGAUUAUGUAGCCAGGGAAAGGAACUGUGAAGAUAUUGCAAUGUCUUUGCUCAUUGCCAAUGCUACAGGUGCUCCUCCAAUUUGGGUGAAAGGAAAGAUACAUGAGAUUGCAUCAUCAGGCAUAAGUAGUCUUAAAGGGCAUAGUGACAGGAGAAAUAAAUGCCUGAAUGACAUAAUUUCCCUAUAUGGGACUGUGCCUCUUGUUUCAAGCAAUGUAAAAGCUGUAGAUGCAAGACAAGAAUGGUUCUGGUAGUUGUGACCUUGGAAUUAUUUGGAGCCAUUAGCCAACCGAAUAGUUAUGCUUUCAGAUUCACCUCCUUGUUGCAAUCAAGUUCUGCAUUAUGCUUAUUCUACUUGUAUAUUUGUACAGGGGACCAUGUUUAAAUGAUUGUGAUGUUAACUGAUAUUUUUCUGAGUCACUCUCGCUCAUCUGCUCGUCACCCAUUCAAUGGCUGUUGACCUGUCCUAUACUUUGAUCAGAUUUUUAUUAAAAAAAAAAAAAAAAAAAA
Molecule: unclassified non-coding RNA, 1774 nt
Filed under: Hevea brasiliensis (rubber tree)
Lineage: Eukaryota; Viridiplantae; Streptophyta; Magnoliopsida; Malpighiales; Euphorbiaceae
Source: RNAcentral